This 73-nucleotide transfer RNA is filed under the name Pseudolactococcus raffinolactis. Its description in RNAcentral is "tRNA-Asp". It matches the Rfam family "tRNA". From Rfam's summary of the family: Transfer RNA (tRNA) molecules are approximately 80 nucleotides in length. Their secondary structure includes four short double-helical elements and three loops (D, anti-codon, and T loops). The record is from RNAcentral. RNAcentral also lists the same sequence under 9 other names. Lineage: Bacteria; Bacillati; Bacillota; Bacilli; Lactobacillales; Streptococcaceae.
GGUCUCGUAGUGUAGUGGUUAUCACGUCGCCCUGUCACGGCGAAGAUCGCGGGUUCAAGUCCCGUCGAGACCG